This 922-nucleotide ribosomal RNA is filed under the name uncultured bacterium. RNAcentral describes it as "bacterial SSU rRNA". It matches the Rfam family "Bacterial small subunit ribosomal RNA", at positions 8 to 916 of the family's 1533-position model. The record is from RNAcentral.
AGAGUUUGAUCAUGGCUCAGAACGAACGCUGGCGGCGUGGCUAAGACAUGCAAGUCGAACGGACUGGUCAAUUUAUUGAACAGUUAGUGGCGAAAGGGUUAGUAACAGAUGGGUAACGUACCCUGUGCUUUGGGAUAGCGUCAUCCCGAUUUCGGUCGGGAUUUCCGAAAGGGGCGGUAAUACCAGAUAAUAUCAUUUGUCGAUAGGCAGAUGAUCAAAGAUUUAUCGGCACGGGAGCGGCCUGUCUCCUAUCAGCUAGUUGGUGAGGUAACGGCUCACCAAGGCGACGACGGGUAGCGGGACUGAGAGGUUGGCCCGCAACAUCGGGACUGAGACACUGCCCGGACCUCCACGGAGGGCUGCAGUAACGGAUAUUGUGCAAUGGGCGAAAGCCUGACACAGCGACGCCGCGUGUAGGAGGAAGUCUCUCGGGAUGUAAACUACUGUCAGGGGGAAGAAAGUGCGCUUCGGCGUAUUGAUCUAACCCAGAGGAAGUCACGGCUAACUUCGUGCCAGCAGCCGCGGUAAGACGAAGGUGGCAAGCGUUGUUCGGUAUUACUGGGCUUAAAGCGUGUGUAGGCGGAAAAGUAAGCGUCUUGUGAAAGCCCCCGGCUUAACCGGGGAAUUGCGUGACGAACUGCUUUUCUUGAGGCAAGUAGGGGUGCAUGGAACUCUUGGUGGAGCGGUGGAAUGCGUAGAUAUCAAGAGGAACGCCAGUGGAGAAAUCGGUGCACUGGGCUUGUUCUGACGCUGAGACACGAAAGCGUGGGGAGCGAACGGGAUUAGAUACCCCGGUAGUCCACGCCGUAAACGAUGCCUACUAGGUUGUGGUGGUUCUGACACCAGCACAGCCGAAGCGAAAGUGCUUAGUAGGCCGCCUGGGGAGUACGGUCGCAAGGCUAAAACUCAAAGGAAUUGACGG